RNAcentral lists this ribosomal RNA (54 nucleotides) under Phacellanthus tubiflorus. Its description in RNAcentral is "partial 18S ribosomal RNA". The record is from RNAcentral. Lineage: Eukaryota; Viridiplantae; Streptophyta; Magnoliopsida; Lamiales; Orobanchaceae.
ACAAGGUUUCCGUAGGUGAACCUGCGGAAGGAUCAUUGUCGAUACCUACAAAGC